AGCCAAUAUAACAAAAACAAUACCCAAAAAAUAAAAAACAGCAAUAAAAUAGAACAUAAAGCACUCACCAGUCACCAGGCGAAGCUGAAUUUUGUUCACCUAAUCGGCAAUCAGGCUGUCUGCUAACCGAACGGGAAGUCGUCAAGUUGGAAAUCUCGAAAUAUUGGAACAGCUGUUGAACUCGGCAGAAGAAGAACCAUUGAUGACUGAACUUAGCUUUAAAGUUUAAGCUUUUGGAGACUCGGAUUGGGGGUAGCAAUUCAUUGUAAAUUUUUAAGCAAAAUUGGGCCUAAUUUUUUAAACAAAAAAAAGCCCAAAUAACAUGGACGGAUGAACCAUUGUGAUUUACUAUCGGCGGCCCAAAGUGAAACCCAAGAAAAAGAAAAAAAAAGGACACUAUUCGGACUCAUCUCUUUCCCUUCGUCUUCCUAGCUGCCUGCAAAUUCAUUGUUCCUACCCGGUGGCUCCAGGCGUCCCUCAACACUCCGGCGGAGCAAGCACGUGCGGCCAAGGCCCCUCAUCGGGUCCUAGCCCCGCGCCUACUUUGCAAUCAAUACCACAUCUUUCAUUUAGGAGUUAUGCUCAAAAAUCUCGUUCAAGAACUUAAAUUUUGCCACUAAUUUUUCUUUCCCCUUUUUUGUGGCUCACAAGUUUGUAGUCAAAACAUAAGCGCUGGCUUCCCCAUCUCCACCACUUGUUUCAG
Molecule: long non-coding RNA, 703 nt
Filed under: Olea europaea subsp. europaea
Lineage: Eukaryota; Viridiplantae; Streptophyta; Magnoliopsida; Lamiales; Oleaceae
Source: RNAcentral